RNAcentral lists this transfer RNA (77 nucleotides) under Chloroflexota bacterium. RNAcentral describes it as "Chloroflexi bacterium (sediment metagenome) tRNA-Arg". It matches the Rfam family "tRNA". Rfam says of the family: Transfer RNA (tRNA) molecules are approximately 80 nucleotides in length. Their secondary structure includes four short double-helical elements and three loops (D, anti-codon, and T loops). Lineage: Bacteria; Bacillati; Chloroflexota. The record is from RNAcentral.
GCCCCCGUAGCUCAAUUGGAUAGAGCGCUGGACUUCGGAUCCAGUGGUUGCGCGUUCGAGUCGCGCCGGGGGCGCUA